RNAcentral lists this ribosomal RNA (382 nucleotides) under Hohenbuehelia algonquinensis. Its description in RNAcentral is "eukaryotic LSU rRNA". It matches the Rfam family "Eukaryotic large subunit ribosomal RNA", at positions 349 to 744 of the family's 3401-position model. Lineage: Eukaryota; Fungi; Basidiomycota; Agaricomycetes; Agaricales; Pleurotaceae. The record is from RNAcentral.
UACCGUGAGGGAAAGAUGAAAAGAACUUUGGAAAGAGAGUUAAACAGUACGUGAAAUUGCUGAAAGGGAAACGCUUGAAGUCAGUCGCGUUGGCCAGGGAUCAACCUUACUUCUGUGGGGUGUACUUCCUCGUCGACGGGUCAGCAUCAGUUUUGGUUGCUGGAUAAAGGCCAGGGGAAUGUGGCAUCUUCGGAUGUGUUAUAGCCCUUGGUUGGAUACAGUGGCUGGGACUGAGGAACUCAGCACGCGCAAGUUGUGCUUAGGAUGCUGGCAAAAUGGCUUUAAUCGACCCGUCUUGAAACACGGACCAAGGAGUCUAACAUGCCUGCGAGUGUUUGGGUGGAAAACCCGAGCGCGUAAUGAAAGUGAAAGUUGUGAUCCC